GUGCUAUGACUUCUAUGAGACUUCUGGUUUAUUUCAACUAAUAAGAGAAAAAUGGAAAAUACAUGUCAUGUAAUGUCAUGCAUACAUUAGAUAGAAAAACAUUUUCUAAUAACUAGCUUUCUCAUUUUCCUUUGUUUGGUGUGUAAACGGGUGGGUGAAUAAAAUAAUUUAGCUUGAAAAUAGUUUUUCCUAAGAACCAAAGACGGAAAAUGAAGUUUGAAAACUAAUUUCAGUAAUUUGAACUGAAAUAUACUUUUUAAGGUAAUGUAAUUCUGGUUAAAAUAUUUUCCUUCAAACCAAUCAUAACCUAAUACUUAUUUGGUUUGUGUUCCCCACAUGUUUCUUCAUACACACUAUUAUUUAAUCUAACUAAAAGACAAAUUUACCUACCAUUUAUUUUUUAAUACACCCAAUUUUUAAUAAAGUGACCGCAAAAGCAUUUGGGGCAAUUUUUUAGGGACAUAGGGAGUAUGCUGUAGUUGUUGUGUAGAAUUCAAGACUAUUAUGCCUGAUGUUACCUUGUGGAGUAGAACUUCUGUUUGAUACUGGUACUGGUGGUGGCGGUGGACCAACAUCGGUAAGAUUACCAUAAAAGGAGUAGAUUUCAUACCGAAGAUUGCAGCUAGGUGUAAUCACCCUGGCUCCUGCAGCGAUAAAUGUAGGCGUAACAAAAUCUUUGGAGAAGAAGCUAAAGAUCAGUAGUCAGAUUUAUCUGUGCAGCAGCAGAUUUCAGCUCAGAAUUCCCCAAUGAAGCCUUAUUUUGCAAGGUAUUCAUCAUAGAAUUGUCAGUGUACCCGAAAGCCUCUGUUUGGUUAGGACAUGAUACCGGGAGAGUAGCAGCCGAGUCACGGAUACAAAGCCGGCAAGUGUUGUAAGGUACGUCACCUCUGCAUAGGACCAUGGCUUUGACUUUGUUAGGAGUUUGACCCGCGGUGAAGUUGUAGUAGCCAUUGGUGACUCGAGGGGUUGAGGAUAGAGAGUUGAGGGCUGUUUUGAGGUUGGAUUGGUAAGUGCUGUUUUGGGUGUAAUAGUUGAUGUUUCCGCAUUUGCUGUAGAGGAAUUGAAACUGAGCUGAGGUUUUUGGAAGGAAAGAAAUGAGGAUGAAUUGGAGCACUAAUAAUAUGAGUUUUGUUGGUAACUCCAUUUCUUGAUAA
Molecule: long non-coding RNA, 1154 nt
Organism: Spinacia oleracea (spinach)
Lineage: Eukaryota; Viridiplantae; Streptophyta; Magnoliopsida; Caryophyllales; Amaranthaceae
Exons: 3
Source: RefSeq, a predicted model, not a curated record